This 406-nucleotide ribosomal RNA is filed under the name uncultured bacterium. Its description in RNAcentral is "partial 16S ribosomal RNA". It matches the Rfam family "Bacterial small subunit ribosomal RNA", at positions 30 to 526 of the family's 1533-position model. The record is from RNAcentral.
AUUGAACGCUGGCGGCAGGCCUAACACAUGCAAGUCGAACGAGUGGCGGACGGGUGAGUAAUGUCUGGGAAACUGCCCGAUGGAGGGGGAUAACUACUGGAAACGGUAGCUAAUACCGCAUCCCAUCGGCUGUGCCCAGAUGGGAUUAGCUCGUAGGUCGGGUAAUGGCUCACCUAGGCGACGAUCCCUAGCUGGUCUGAGAGGAUGACCAGCCACACUGGAUCUGAGACACGUUCCAGGCUCCGACGGGAGGCAGCAUUGGGGCAUAUUGCACACUGGGCGCAAGCCUGAUGCAGCCCUGCCGCGUGUGUGAAGAAGGCCUUCGGGUUGUAAAGUACUUUCAGCGAGGAGGCGUUACUCGCAGAAGAAGCACCGGCUAACUCCGUGCCAGCAGCCGCGGUAAUUC